AUACGGAGGGUGCAAGCGUUAUCCGGAUUUAUUGGGUUUAAAGGGUCCGUAGGCGGAUCCGUAAGUCAGUGGUGAAAUCUCAUAGCUUAACUAUGAAACUGCCAUUGAUACUGCGGGUCUUGAGUAAGGUAGAAGUAGCUGGAAUAAGUAGUGUAGCGGUGAAAUGCAUAGAUAUUACUUAGAACACCAAUUGCGAAGGCAGGUUACUAUGUCUUAACUGACGCUGAUGGACGAAAGCGUGGGGAGCGAACAGGAUUAGAUACCCUGGUAGUCCACGCCGUAAACGAUGCUAACUCGUUUUUGGUGUUUCGGAAUCAGAGACUAAGCGAAAGUGAUAAGUUAGCCACCUGGGGAGUACGAACGCAAGUUUGAA
Molecule: ribosomal RNA, 373 nt
Filed under: uncultured bacterium
Lineage: Bacteria
Description: bacterial SSU rRNA
Rfam family: Bacterial small subunit ribosomal RNA
Source: RNAcentral